GUAGGUGAACCUGCGGAGGG
Molecule: ribosomal RNA, 20 nt
Filed under: Mycocalicium sp. MA 4790
Lineage: Eukaryota; Fungi; Ascomycota; Eurotiomycetes; Mycocaliciales; Mycocaliciaceae
Description: 18S ribosomal RNA
Source: RNAcentral